CUGAGUUCAUGCCCUUACGGGUAGAUCUCCACCCUUGAAUAUAUACCUUUGUUGCUUUGGCAGGCCGCUUCAGCCACCGGCUCCGGCUGGUGAGUGCUUGCCAGAGGCUCCAAAACUCUGAAUUAUCAUGUCGUCUGAGUACUAUACAAUAGUUA
Molecule: unclassified non-coding RNA, 155 nt
Filed under: uncultured Helotiales
Lineage: Eukaryota; Fungi; Ascomycota; Leotiomycetes; Helotiales
Description: sequence contains ITS1
Source: RNAcentral